AAUUGACGGGGAGCACCACAACGGGUGGAGCUUGCGGUUAAUUGGAUUCAACGCCGGAAAUCUUACCGGGACCGACAGCAAUAUGAAGGCCAGGCUGAAGACUUUGCCGGAUUAGCUGAGAGGUGGUGCAUGGCCGUCGUCAGUUCGUACUGUGAAGCAUCCUGUUAAGUCAGGCAACGAGCGAGACCCACGCCCACAGUUGCCAGCGUACUCUCUGGAGUGACGGGUACACUGUGGGGACCGCCGCUGCUAAAGCGGAGGAAGGAAUGGGCAACGGUAGGUCAGCAUGCCCCGAAUUAACUGGGCUACACGCGGGCUACAAUGGGUGGGACAAUGGGUAUCGACACCGAAAGGUGAAGGCAAUCUCCUAAACCCAUCCGUAGUUCGGAUUGUGGGCUGCAACUCGCCCACAUGAAGCUGGAAUCUGUAGUAAUCGUGUCUCAAAAUGGCACGGUGAAUAUGUCCCUGCUCCUU
Molecule: ribosomal RNA, 474 nt
Filed under: uncultured Methanolinea sp.
Lineage: Archaea; Methanobacteriati; Methanobacteriota; Methanomicrobia; Methanomicrobiales; Methanoregulaceae
Description: bacterial SSU rRNA
Rfam family: Archaeal small subunit ribosomal RNA
Source: RNAcentral